UACGGGGGGUGCAAGCGUUAUUCGGAAUUAUUGGGCGUAAAGGGCGCGUAGGCGGUCUAUUAAGUCAGGUGUGAAAGCCCAAGGCUCAACCUUGGAAGUGCAUUUGAAACUAGUAGUCUUGAGUAUGGGAGAGGGAAGUGGAAUUCCUGGUGUAGAGGUGAAAUUCGUAGAUAUCAGGAGGAACACCGGUGGCGAAGGCGACUUCCGGGACCAAUACUGACGCUGAGGCGCGAAGGCGUGGGGAGCAAACAGG
Molecule: ribosomal RNA, 253 nt
Filed under: uncultured bacterium
Lineage: Bacteria
Description: partial 16S ribosomal RNA
Rfam family: Bacterial small subunit ribosomal RNA
Source: RNAcentral